CAGGAAAUAAAUGACAAAUGAUUUGUUGGAAUAAAUCAAAUUUGGCCAUCAUAUUUUUUUAGAAUAAUUUAUGUAUUUGAAUCAAGUCAAGUGUCUCAUGGCAAUCCAUUCAUGUAUGUGAAUCUAGUCAAGUGUCUUAUAAAGUUCCAUAGUUUGGAUCUAGUCAAGUGAAUUAAAUGUUUCGAUGUUUCCUAUGCUAUUGAUAUGUAUAAAUAAGACCACAUGUUGCAGUAGGCAAAUAAAAAGUAAAUUUUCAGAUUAUCUCUCUCCAAAUUAUCCAAAUUAUAUUGCCUUCAAACUAGUUUCAGA
RNAcentral lists this long non-coding RNA (309 nucleotides) under Olea europaea (common olive). RNAcentral's name for it is "long non-coding RNA (OEUR_LNC003066)". Lineage: Eukaryota; Viridiplantae; Streptophyta; Magnoliopsida; Lamiales; Oleaceae. The record is from RNAcentral.